Molecule: long non-coding RNA, 486 nt
Organism: Solea senegalensis (Senegalese sole)
Lineage: Eukaryota; Metazoa; Chordata; Actinopteri; Pleuronectiformes; Soleidae
Exons: 2
Source: RefSeq, a predicted model, not a curated record
ACUGUUUUCAUACUUUCACUGCACUAUUAAAAUUGUGUUGUUUUUAACACUGUGGUUGCUAUGACGCAUUUCUGUUCUUCUUAGUAAUUUGGAAUGUGUGACUUUAACACAAACACAUACACCUAUUAGUGACAGUGAAUUUUAACUCUGCAUUUAAUCCGUCCUUUUUUACACUCCACAAGCCGGGCAAGGGAGCAGUGGGCAGAGUGCCUUGCUCAGGGGGUGACCCAGCCCAUGACCCAUUCCAGGAUUUGAACUGGCAACCCUUCAGUUACAAGCCCAAUUCCUUUCCUCUUGGCCUUAAGAUGUGUAUGCUGCAACCACUAUCUGGAAGAAGAUUAGGAGCCCUCCUGUUCCCUCUUCCUCCCCUCAACUCCAGUGUAACAGUAAGAACACAUGGCAGCACAGCACUAAGCUAUGGGGUUUCUCAGGGGUGUCGGCACAUGUGCGAGUGGAAGGGAAUGUUGAUGAUUAAAUGGUGCUGAA